CACUAGUCAACAUGCACAAGCAGGCUCUGGUCAGGACAGCAGAUGGCUAAAGGCAGUUGGUCUAAGGAAGUACAGGAUGUCGUCAUUCAACAAGGAUCAUCAAACAACCAGUUUGCUCCCUCGGUGGGUGAAGAGAGGAAGCUAAAGACAUCCUUCCACGGUCAUUGCUCCUCUACUGUUUCUGUGAACAAGGCCCAGUUGGACACCAGAUUCUCCAAUAUUCAUGCAAGUUUAUCUAAUUCUUCUUUGCUAUUAGCACGCAUUCAUUUGACAAGGGCGUGUUGCUAUGCAGCUCUGAGCUGUAGUAAGGGGCUGGAGCCGACCCCUGAUCAAUCCUAACAGCCUAGGUAUGAUUGGGAAGGAGGCUGUGGAAUCCAAAGGUUUCUGCCAAGAGGAGAAGAAUGCAGAUUAUCCUGUGCACAACCUUGACAAUUAUGCAGUAUUUUAUUCACUAUUGCUAUUACUACAGUGCCCCACUUGGACCCAAUAUCUUAAAAGCCACUGAAAUAAGCAGGUUUGGUCCUCUUUGAACAAAAAAAAAAGCAAAAAUGAGAACAAAUGUGAUUAUGAGCCCACUGGUGAUGUCAGCAACUGCAGUACCAUUACUAGUUUCUAAUGUCGGGCUUGGACUGGAUUCCACAUGUUCGUAAUUUCAAAAGAAAACCUGAGGGCAUCAGCUCUUAUCCUGAACCGUAGACACAUAAUACAGCUGCGUGAAAGUAACUAGAUCUGCUAGAACAGUAAUUUCCUAAGACUAACAGUAUUAGUAGAAAUAAGUCUAUCCAUUAUGAAUGAGAAAAAUGAAUUUGUAAUUCACAUGAAACUGUAUAAAGUGCUCCAAAGAUAUUUAUUUAAUAAAGCAGCUUAUUGAUGUCUGGGACUGAAAUCUGAAAAGCCUACUCAGUUGUGGGACGAUGUGGCUCAGAUGGUAGACUGGCUGGGCCAGCUACU
Molecule: long non-coding RNA, 951 nt
Organism: Nerophis lumbriciformis (worm pipefish)
Lineage: Eukaryota; Metazoa; Chordata; Actinopteri; Syngnathiformes; Syngnathidae
Source: RefSeq, a predicted model, not a curated record